GGGGUAGUAGUCUAGUGGUUCGGGUGUUUGGCUCCCAGCCCAAAAGAUACUGGGUUCGAUUCCCAAUGUCCGCA
Non-coding RNA from Merluccius polli (Benguela hake), 74 nucleotides. Lineage: Eukaryota; Metazoa; Chordata; Actinopteri; Gadiformes; Merlucciidae. The record is from the annotation of a GenBank genome assembly.